Molecule: small nuclear RNA, 21 nt
Filed under: Arabidopsis thaliana (thale cress)
Lineage: Eukaryota; Viridiplantae; Streptophyta; Magnoliopsida; Brassicales; Brassicaceae
Description: snRNA_05654
Source: RNAcentral
CUCCGGGCGUCGGCCUGUGGG